GAUGAAGAACGUAGCGAAAUGCGAUAAGUAAUGCGAAUUGCAGAAUCCGUGAGUCAUCGAAUCUUUGAACGCACAUUGCGCCCGCCAGUAUUCUGGCGGGCAUGCCUGUUCGAGCGUCAUUACAACCCUCAGGCCCCCGGGCCUGGCGUUGGGGAUCGGCGGAGCCCCCCGUGGGCACACGCCGUCCCCCAAAUGCAGUGGCGGUCCCGCCGCAGCUUCCAUCGCGUAGUAGCUAACACCUCGCGACUGGAGAGCGGCGCGGCCACGCCGUAAAACACCCAACUCUUCUGAAGUUGACCUCGAAUCAGGUAGGAAUACCCGCUGAACUUAAGCAUAUCAAUAAGCGGAGGA
This 351-nucleotide unclassified non-coding RNA is filed under the name soil metagenome. RNAcentral's name for it is "partial contains 5.8S ribosomal RNA, internal transcribed spacer 2, and large subunit ribosomal RNA". The stretch from base 1 to 119 matches the Rfam family "5.8S ribosomal RNA", at positions 35 to 154 of the family's 154-position model. The record is from RNAcentral.